Molecule: transfer RNA, 56 nt
Filed under: Caprella mutica
Lineage: Eukaryota; Metazoa; Arthropoda; Malacostraca; Amphipoda; Caprellidae
Description: tRNA-Cys
Source: RNAcentral
GAUCAUAUGGUGUAAAAAACACAGAAAGUUGCAAACUUUCAGAUUUAUUAUGGUUA